AUGGCAGUGCAACAAGUCAAGCCCCACGUCCAGAGGAUCCAUCAACCCUCCUUGUAUUGGAACAAUCUGGGCAAGCAACAACUGAAAGGACAAGCUCAACAAAUAACAUUCAUCCACCUCAUGUCGAUACUCGAAUACAAACGAAACAAACAACCCCCAACAAAGCAUGUCUCCAGUGAAAAAGGAAGCUACAUCAAAAUUGCUCAGAAACAGCCAGCUGCAGCAGGUAGCAGAGCCUUUCUUGAUCAUCAAGCUUAUUACAUUUCAGUAAAUGGACACCCCAGGUUUAGUCUGGGCUAA
This 300-nucleotide ribosomal RNA is filed under the name Triticum aestivum (bread wheat). Its description in RNAcentral is "partial small subunit ribosomal RNA". Lineage: Eukaryota; Viridiplantae; Streptophyta; Magnoliopsida; Poales; Poaceae. The record is from RNAcentral.